GCCCCAGAGGCGGCGAUGCACCAUUCAAAUUUCUGCCCUAUCAACUUUCGAUGGUAGGAUCGGGGCCUACCAUGGUCGUAACGGGUAACGGGGAAUUAGGGUUUGAUUCCGGAGAGGGAGCUCGAGAAACGGCUACCACUUCCAAGGAAGGCAGCAGGCGCGCAAAUUACCCACUGGCGACACGCCGAGGUAGUGACAACAAAUAAGUAGGUAGGUCCCAAUAGGGAUUUACCAUACGAGUGAGUACAAUUUAAACCCCAUAACGAAAGCCACUGGAGGGCAAGUCUGGUGCCAGCAGCCGCGGUAAUUCCAGCUCCAGUAGCGUAUAUUAAAGCUGUUGCGGUUAAAAAGCUCGUAGUCGGAACUGAAGACUUUUAGAAGACUGGUCCAUGCAUAGUCAUGCGUACUGGUCCUCGAGUCUUUAUAAGGUUCUGGUGGCCUGUUCCUGCUCUUUACUGAGUGGGGAUGGAAAGGCAAGGCAGGGUUUCGGCUUUGGUUUGCUGAAGGCACCAGAUCGAUUACUUUGAGAAAAUUAGAGUGUUCAAAGCAGGCGGUCACGCCUUGAAUACAUUAGCAUGGGAUAAUGCCAUGGGACUCUGGGCCCAUUUCGUUGGUUUCUGGGAAUGGAGUCAGGAUCAACAGGGACAGUUGGGGUGAUUCAUAUUUUGCCGACAGGGGUGAAAUCCUAUGACCGGCGAAAGAUGAACUAGUGCGAAAGCAUUUCAUAAGGAUGUUUUCAUUGAUCAAGAACGAAAGUUGAGGGAUCGAAGGCGAUCAGAUACCGCCCUAGUCUCAACCAUAAACCAUGCCGACCAGGGAUCGGGAGACGUUCAAACAUUACGACUCCCCCGGCACCUUGUGAGAAAUCACAAGUCUUUGGGCUUCGGGGGGAGUAUGGUCGCAAGGCUGAAACUUAAAGGAAUUGACGGAACGACACCACCAGGAGUGGAGCCUGCGGCUUAAUUCGACCCAACACGGGAAAACUCACCAGGUACAGACAGCGGAAGGAUGUACAGACUUGCAGAUCUUUAUAGAUUCGCUGGGUGGUGGUGCAUGGCCGUUCUUGGCUCGUGCGUUGACUUGUCUGGUUAAUUCCGUUAACGAGCGAGACCUCAGCCUGCUAAAUAGUCAGUGGACUCCCUUUUUGAGCCUUUGUGCGACAAAUGGGAGUGGCAAUGUUGACUUCUUAGAGGGACCAUGCGUUUCUAGCGCAGGGAAGUUUGAGGCAAUAACAGGUCUGUGAUGCCCUUCGAUGUCCUGGGCUGCACGCGCGCUACACUGAUGAACUCAACGAGUCUAUAGCUUGGCCGAAGGGUCUGGCUAAUCUCCUCAAAGUUCAUCGUGAUGGGGAUAGAUCAUUGCAAUUAUUGAUCUUCAACGAGGAAUUCCUAGUAGGUGCGAGUCAUCAGCUCGCGCCGAUUACGUCCCUGUCGUUUGUACACACCGCCCGUCGCUCCUACCGAUUGGGUGAUCAGGUGAACACCUCGGACGGUCAUGGCAUUGCUGAUGGGGGAAACUCUGUUGACGGCCUCGACCGAAAGUCGUGUAAACCUUAUUAUCUAGAGGAAGGAGAAGUCGUAACAAGGUU
This 1588-nucleotide ribosomal RNA is filed under the name metagenome. RNAcentral describes it as "SSU rRNA". It matches the Rfam family "Eukaryotic small subunit ribosomal RNA", at positions 275 to 1801 of the family's 1831-position model. The record is from RNAcentral.